This is a non-coding RNA of Podarcis lilfordi (Lilford's wall lizard), 5330 nucleotides long. The record is from the annotation of a GenBank genome assembly. Lineage: Eukaryota; Metazoa; Chordata; Lepidosauria; Squamata; Lacertidae.
GCAGGUAUUUGAGGGAAGAGGAGUGGAAUGAGCCAGAAGAGAAGGGGUUAUUGUGUUGCAUACAGAUAUAUAGCACCAGUUAGAGAUACGCAUUAUUAGAGAGUGAUAGCAUCAGAGAAAGAAGGAAAGUGAUACAGAAAAUCAUUACAUCUUUUAAAAAGUAAGUUGGAUUUCUUAGUUUAGUUUUUGUUUAUUGCUGGUUUUGUAUCUAGUUUUAAGGUCUGCCUUUAUUGUACUCCCUUAUGUUCCCUCCCUUAUAGUUGCUUUUAACUGUUUCUCCUUGUUGUUUUUUUUUAAUCUUUUCAAAGUUAUGUAUGGUAUAAUCACCUUUUAAUUAUUAGCUUUUAUCCUUUACCUGUUUUAAGUCUCAUGUGUUCAGUUUAUCCAUAUGUUUUAUCUUAUGCUGGUCUGUGACUGAAAUAAAGUUUGAUACUGAUUCUCAGCUUUGAUUGUGUAAUGUGGUUUUGAGACAUCCUAGUGCAAAAAUAUAAUUAUAAUGAUGAUGAUCAUCAGGACCAGUUUAAAUCUUUCAGUUCAAAUGGCUUUUGUUUUCUUCCGUGGACAUUUGGAAGGUCUUUUGAUGAAAUAUUCUCAGUGUGUCCAACUGCUUACUGCACAAGUUCUUCAUGAUAGCAAAUUCAUGUCAAACCUAGUGGUCAGAUACCUCCAGUUGAGUGCAGCGACAUAGAGCAUAAAGACAUGACAACCCCAGUUUCUCAUCUUUUCUCCACUCUGCCCUAGGUUGCAAAAGCUUUCAGAAUCUCUUAACAAUGAUGAGUCUGCCAAACCUUGGAGGAUUUGUUUCUUUAAAACAAUGACAACCAAACACAACCCUCCUCCCCACAGAUGCAUUUUGUCAUGAAAAAGCAAGGGUAUUUGGUCUUAGGCUGUCUGGAUUUUGAAGUUGAAUUUGGAUGCCAUCAAUCUCUGGUGUCCGGCCAUAGUUAUCCAGUCCUGAGAAAAAGUCACUCAGAGUCUAAGAGGCAAAUUUAUUCAUUAUUUAUUCACAUGGUCUGGGAUUCAGCCCUAGAUAUUCAAAACAGGUUUGGAGCUGAUGACAAUUACAGUUCUCAAGAUCCCUCAUUUCUCUGAAUGCACAAUAUCACCAGGGCCUUUUUGUUAGCUGCGGCCUGGAUGUUUCUGUAGGAGCAGUGAGUGUUUUUUCUCUUGAAUGUUUACUGGGCUCAGUCUUGACAUAGGUGUUGAUAACUAAGAAGCUUCUUGUAUAUGGCAAGGUCCAGCAUUCUUCAACCUUGUUGCCUCCAGAUGUUUUGGAUCACACACCCCAUCAGCUCCGAUCACCAUGGCAAAUGUUCAGAUAUGAUGGGGGCUGUUGGCCAAAACAUCUGGAAGGGCCUGGGUUUUGUAAGGCUGUCCUAGUUCAAAGGAAGAGGAGAGGAGAGGAGAGUUUCAGACAGCUAGUGGGUUCUCCACCCUCAGGUUGCCUGAAUUCUGCCCUAGCCAGUGUGAAAGGUUGGGCUGUAAUUGCAACAUCUGUCAUACCCCAUAGCUGCCUGGCCAGAGUUAGGAUUGUUCUGUAACAGAACAUUUCUCUAAAUGUCUACUCAGAAGUAAGUUCCAUGGAGUUCAGAGGCUUCCUCUCAGGUUAGUGGCUACAGGAUUGAAGCUUGACUAAUCUUUUUAAAAAACCUCCUUAGGCAUCUGUCUUCUCCAUCCAUUUUAUAGACCUCUUUCUGCUGAUCGUAGAAACACCAUCAUGAUAGUGUAUUUGACUAUCAGCAGUUACCACUGUGGUUUCAGUGAAAUGUUGGAUGUUUACCGAACAUCCAAAAGGUUCUUUCAAUAAAUUUAUUUAUUAGCGGAAUUUUUACAUUUUAUAGGUUCAAUAAUUUUUUAUAGAGCUGACUUGGCUGAUCUGUUUACUUGUCGCUCUCUCGUAUGGCACAAUCACAUAUAAAAUGAAGCUCAUAAAGUACAUUAUGUAAAUAUAAACAAGAGCUUUCAGGGGAAAUUUGAAUAUGUAGGACUUUAAAAAGUUUUCUUUUCAUAAAUCUUUGUACGGAUGCAUCUAAGUUGAAAAUAGAUUAAGUUUGAUUUCAAUUAUUUGUCAAGCACUUUUCCAGAUGCAACCAAAUUAUUUCUUAGCGAGCACACAGGAUUUUUAUAUCUUAAGACUAUUUUCCAUUGAAAAUCUCAUGCUUACUAAUUACCGUAUUUUUCGCUCUAUAGGAUGCACUUUUCCCCCUCCAAAAAUUAAGGGAAAAUGUCUGUGUGUCCUAUGGAGCGAAUGCAGGCUCAUUGGCUUCAGGAAUAGCAACGCGAAGCCUCCGAAGCGCAGAGGGAACGCUCCCUCCGGAGGCUUCGCGUUGCUUUCGCUGAAGCCUGGAGAGUGAGAGGCGUCGGUGCGCACCAACCCCUCUCGCUCUCCAGGCUUCAGGGAUAGCCGCCUGAAGCCUUCAGAGCGCAGUGUGAGUUUCCUCUGCGCUCCGCAGGCUUCAGGUUCCUUUCGCUGAAGCCAGGAGAGUCUUGCUCUCCCGACUUCAGCAAAAGGAACCCGAAGCUUGCGGAGCGCAGCGGGAACUCGUGCUGCGCUCCGAUGGCCGCCUGAAGCGGGUUCAGCAAAAGGGGCUCCGUUUCUCCUGCUGCUUCGCUGAAGGGGCGCUGAGCAGAGAGGGGGAGAAAUUUUUUUUCUUGUUCUCCCCCUCUAAAACAAGGUGCGUCCUAUAGUCGUGUGCGUCCUAUAGAGCAAAAAAUACGGUAGCUUCAACUUCCUAGAGACUGGCUAUUUUAUCUAUUUUGGUGUUCUUUGUAUUGUAAGAAUCUGUAUUGUCACUAUGCUGACAAGCUAAGAAUUAACUGUCCUAGCAGGAAUGAAAGGUACUCAUUGCCUGGCAGGUUUGCUGAAGCCAUCAGCUGAAUUGUGGGAUGGGACAGAAGUCACCAUUUCUAGGGAAGAGGGGCAAACCUCCUGCAAGAUCUCUAUGCUGUGAAGGGGGUCAAAUGGACAUAUGGAAGGAAAUCUGCUUGUAUUCAUCACUUCUCUCCCUUUUCUCCAUUUCCCUUCAUCUAUUUAUAGAUUGGGAAACUUGGGGAUGGGACCUGCCAAACAUGUGUUGUUGUUUUUUUGUAAACUACCGUGUACCUAGAAGGCACCACAGAGUGGCAGGUGAUAAUUGUCAAAAGUAGCAUACCACUGAGUACGUCCCCUCUUCAAUUCUGGAGGUAGUCUGGGGAUCCCAGGUCAUCUUCCAAGUGGACGUGCUUUGUAGGAAAAUUCUGCAGGAAUGCAGAAAAAGAAGUUUCUCGAGUAUUUCAGCUUUCUUAAAAUGGAAAAAAAAAGUUUGUGGUCCUUAUGAAGGUGAAGCAAUCCUUGAUGAUGCAUGGGUGAUUUAUGCAGAAAUCUUAGAAGUCAGAGUUGAUGGGUUUGGGGAUGGGUAUGCAAUACUUUACAUACUCUCCUCAUGACCAGAGGAAGCAGAAGAACAGAGCUAUACAAAAUGAGGCUGGUAGGACAGAUCUGUGGAAUCACUAAAGCCAUCCAAAGCCCCUCAAACUCAUGCCAACUAGGGUGGAAGGUGAUGGAAGCACACCCACAUUGUUUUUGCUUCAUCAGCUCCAGGCUGGCUAUUAAUAUAAUAAAUGUAAUGUAAUGUAAUGUAAUGUAAUGUAAUGUAAUGUAAUGAUUGAUUUACAGAUUGAUUUACGGAAAAUUAGAAUAUUGUGGAAAAGUUAAUUUAUUUCAUUUCAGGCCAGCAAACUCGCCUGACCUGAACCCCAUAGAGAAGCUAUGGGGCAUUGCCAAGAGAAAGAUGAGAGACAUGAGACUGAGCAAUGCAGAAGAGCUGAAGGCUGCUAUUGAAGCAUCCUGGUCUUCCAUAACACCUCAGCAGUGCCACAGGCUGAUAGCAUCCAUGCCACACUGCAUUGAGGCAGUAAUUGAUGCAAAAGGGGCCCAAACCAAGUACUGAGUACAUAUGCAUGCUUCUACAUCUCAGAAGUCCAAUAUUGCUCUAUUUGCAAUCCUUAUUUUGCUGAUUUCAUUUAAUAUUCUAAUUUUCUGAGAUUGUUAAUUUGGGAUUUCAUCAGCUGUAUGCCAUAAUCAUUAAUUAUAACAAAUAAAGGCUUGACAUAUCUCGCUUUGCAUGUCAUGACUCUAUCUCAUAUAUUAGUUUCACCUUUUCAGUUGAAUUACUGAAAUAAAUGAACUUUUCCACAAUAUUCUAAUUUUCCGAGUUUCACCUAUAUAUAUUGCCCUUCAUCAAGAGAUCUCAGGACAGUUCACAAGACAACAAUCUGAGGUGUCUAAGCUUGCUCCUUUCAGGAAGAUAAUAAUAAUAAUAAUAAUAAUAAUAAUAAUAAUAAUAAUAAUUAUUAUUAUUAUUAUUAUUUCUGCAAGGACACAUAUUGUACAAGCUAAUGGCUCAUAAAGCACUAUCUUCCUGAUAAUAACAACAAUAAUAAUUUAUAUCCCACCUAUCUGACUGUUGUUUCCCCAGCCACUCUGGGCAACUCCCAACAGAAUAUUAAAAACACGAUAAAACACCAAACAUUAAAAACUUCCCUAAACAGAUGAAAAAGCUUUGGAUCCAUUAGAUCCAUGGCUGGCCCAACCUCUGCCCCAUAGAAUCAUAGAUCCGUAGUGUUGAAAUGGACCUCAAAGGUCAUCUAGUUGAAACCCUUGCAAGGCAGGAAUCCGCCCCCCCCACAACCAUCUCUGGGUGGGCUUGAACCAACAACCUUUUGGUUAACAGCCGGAUGCCCUGAUUCAUUGUAACACCCUCUUUCAGAGCCCCAAACUGGCUAUCGCAGGGAGAAAUUCUGUGGUGAUGCCCUUUUAAGCAGCUGAACCCAGUAGAGGGGUGUCUGUGUCUAAUCCUAAUCUCCCGUGGCGCUGAUCAGGGAGUUAGAAUUGUUCUCUGAAUUUUGCAAAAUCAUUAAAAUAUCAAACUGUACAAUCAACAGAGGGUGUACAAUACGGCAUGACUGGUAGAUCAGUCUGUCUGUCUAUCUAUCUAUCUAUCUGGCUGAGUUCACACAGACUUAAUGUUAUGUGGCUGGCUAGAUAGAUAGAUGUAUUUGUGGCAAUGUUGUAGUAGUCCUCAGCCAAAUUCUAUUUGGUUUCAUGUUCCUGCCUUAAGUAAGGUUUUUUCAUUUUGUUUUUUUCUAGAGGAGUUAACCACUUUCCUGCAGAGCAACAACAUGACAUGGACUGUGCAAUGCAUUCACAAGCAGAAAUUCAGUUACUGAGAGGGAGAGGAGAACUAAAUUGUGUACGGUUGUAAAUAAGAGGCCACUAGAAAAGGUGAACUCAGCAAUAUGUUUCCCUAGAAGAUAAGGAGAAUUAACUUGCAAUAAAUCCUAGUAAACUA